GACGAACGCUGGCGGCGUGCUUAACACAUGCAAGUCGAACGGAAAGGCCCUGCUUUUGUGGGGUGCUCGAGUGGCGAACGGGUGAGUAACACGUGAGUAACCUGCCCUUGACUUUGGGAUAACUUCAGGAAACUGGGGCUAAUACCGGAUAGGAGCUCCUGCUGCAUGGUGGGGGUUGGAAAGUUUCGGCGGUUGGGGAUGGACUCGCGGCUUAUCAGCUUGUUGGUGGGGUAGUGGCUUACCAAGGCUUUGACGGGUAGCCGGCCUGAGAGGGUGACCGGCCACAUUGGGACUGAGGUACCGGCCCGACCCCUACCGGAGGCAGGCGGUGGGGAAUAUGCACAAAGGGCGGAAGGCUGAUGCAGCAACGCCGCGGGCGGGAUGACCGCCCUUGGGGUGUAAACCGGUUUCGGCUGUGACGAAGCGUGAGGGACGGUAAUGGGUAAAGAAGCACCGGCUAACUACGUG
Molecule: ribosomal RNA, 468 nt
Filed under: uncultured bacterium
Lineage: Bacteria
Description: partial 16S ribosomal RNA
Rfam family: Bacterial small subunit ribosomal RNA
Source: RNAcentral